Molecule: ribosomal RNA, 468 nt
Filed under: uncultured bacterium
Lineage: Bacteria
Description: partial 16S ribosomal RNA
Rfam family: Bacterial small subunit ribosomal RNA
Source: RNAcentral
GACGAACGCUGGCGGCGUGCUUAACACAUGCAAGUCGAACGGAAAGGCCCUGCUUUUGUGGGGUGCUCGAGUGGCGAACGGGUGAGUAACACGUGAGUAACCUGCCCUUGACUUUGGGAUAACUUCAGGAAACUGGGGCUAUUACCGGAUAGGAGCUCCUGCUGCAUGGUGGGGGUUGGAAAGUUUCGGCGGUUGGGGAUGGACUCGCGGCUUAUCAGCUUGUUGGUGGGGUAGUGGCUUACCAAGGCUUUGACGGGUAGCCGGCCUGAGAGGGUGACCGGCCACAUGGGGACUGAGAUACGGCCCAGACUCCUACGGGAGGCAGCAGUGGGGAAUAUUGCACAAUGGGCGGAAGCCUGAUGCAGCAACGCCGCGUGCGGGAUGACGGCCUUCGGGUUGUAAACCGCUUUCGCCUGUGACGAAGCGUGAGUGACGGUAAUGGGUAAAGAAGCACCGGCUAACUACGUG